AACGCGAAGAACCUUACCUCGGCUUGACAUGCACGUGGUACCGACGCGUAAGCGAAGGGACCCGCGAGGGAGCGUGCACAGAUGCUGCAUGGCUGUCGUCAGCUCGUGCCGUGAGGUGUUGGGUUAAGUCCCGCAACGAGCGCAACCCUUGUCCUUAGUUAUCAUGUCUAGGGAGACCGCCGGUCUAAACCGGAGGAAGGUGGGGAUGACGUCAAGUCAGCACGGCUCUUACGUCGAGGGCUACACACACGCUACAAUGGCCGGUACAACGGGCUGCGAAGGGGCGACCUGAAGCUAAUCCCACCAAAGCCGGUCUCAGUUCGGAUCGCAGGCUGCAACUCGCCUGCGUGAAGUCGGAGUUGCUAGUAACUGCUGGUCAGCACACAGCAGUGAAUACGUUCCCGGGCCUUGUA
RNAcentral lists this ribosomal RNA (413 nucleotides) under uncultured Chloroflexota bacterium. RNAcentral's name for it is "bacterial SSU rRNA". It matches the Rfam family "Bacterial small subunit ribosomal RNA", at positions 958 to 1385 of the family's 1533-position model. The record is from RNAcentral. Lineage: Bacteria; Bacillati; Chloroflexota.